CUACAUCAGAGUCACAACAGUACAUUACAUAUUCAACAAGAGUAAGAGCAGGGUCCGACUACGGACGAAAACAAACGACAAAAGAAGAACGACGUCCAUCCUUGCUAUCCCAGGCUGCCGGCCUGGAACCCAUCCUAGAUCGAUGAUGAAGAAGAAGAAGGAGCAACUCCAAAUGAACAAUCAACGCGCUCGCGUCAAGUAACCUUUAC
RNAcentral lists this long non-coding RNA (209 nucleotides) under Hordeum vulgare. RNAcentral describes it as "long non-coding RNA (HVUL_LNC001441)". The record is from RNAcentral. Lineage: Eukaryota; Viridiplantae; Streptophyta; Magnoliopsida; Poales; Poaceae.